RNAcentral lists this ribosomal RNA (372 nucleotides) under uncultured Allobrachymonas sp. RNAcentral's name for it is "bacterial SSU rRNA". It matches the Rfam family "Bacterial small subunit ribosomal RNA", at positions 1006 to 1382 of the family's 1533-position model. The record is from RNAcentral. Lineage: Bacteria; Pseudomonadati; Pseudomonadota; Betaproteobacteria; Burkholderiales; Comamonadaceae.
UGGGGCGUGUGCUCGAAAGAGAACCUGCACACAGGUGCUGCAUGGCUGUCGUCAGCUCGUGUCGUGAGAUGUUGGGUUAAGUCCCGCAACGAGCGCAACCCUUGCCAUCAGUUGCUACGAAAGGGCACUCUGAUGGGACUGCCGGUGGCGAACCGGAGGAAGGUGGGGAUGACGUCAAGUCCUCAUGGCCCUUAUAGGUGGGGCUACACACGUCAUACAAUGGCCGGUACAAAGGGCAGCCAACCCGCGAGGGGGAGCCAAUCCCACAAAGCCGGUCGUAGUCCGGAUCGCAGUCUGCAACUCGACUGCGUGAAGUCGGAAUCGCUAGUAAUCGUGGAUCAGCAUGUCACGGUGAAUACGUUCCCGGGUCUU